Molecule: microRNA precursor, 58 nt
Filed under: Spodoptera frugiperda (fall armyworm)
Lineage: Eukaryota; Metazoa; Arthropoda; Insecta; Lepidoptera; Noctuidae
Description: microRNA sfr-mir-10514 precursor
Source: miRBase by way of RNAcentral
UCGCGGGCAAAUUGAAUGCGCGCUUGUCGAUGGCGGGUCGUCAAUUUCGGGCCUGUGG